GUGUGUGUACAAAGAAGAGAAGAUUGGCAUCUCCCCUGACAAAGACGGGAACGAUUUUCGGGCUUUCCUUCAAGUAUAUAUAUAUAUAUAUAUAUAUAUAUAUAUAUAUAUAUAUAUAU
Molecule: small nuclear RNA, 119 nt
Organism: Panicum virgatum (switchgrass)
Lineage: Eukaryota; Viridiplantae; Streptophyta; Magnoliopsida; Poales; Poaceae
Source: RefSeq, a predicted model, not a curated record